GGAGAAGUAGUUUAUGAAAAUUUAGGCUUUGGGAGCUUAAGAUGCCAAGAUAGCUUGGCCUUCUUCA
Molecule: transfer RNA, 67 nt
Filed under: Ophiactis savignyi
Lineage: Eukaryota; Metazoa; Echinodermata; Ophiuroidea; Amphilepidida; Ophiactidae
Description: tRNA-Pro
Source: RNAcentral